UACGUAGGGGGCAAGCGUUGUCCGGAAUCAUUGGGCGUAAAGAGCGUGUAGGCGGUUCGGUAAGUCGGCUGUGAAAGUCCAGGGCUCAACCCUGGGAUGCCGGUCGAUACUGCCGGACUAGAGUUCGGAAGAGGCGAGUGGAAUUCCCGGUGUAGCGGUGAAAUGCGUAGAUAUCGGAAGGAACACCAGUGGCGAAAGCGGCUUCCUGGUCCAGCACCGACGUUCAGGCACGAAAGCGUGGGGAGCAAACAGG
RNAcentral lists this ribosomal RNA (253 nucleotides) under uncultured bacterium. RNAcentral describes it as "partial 16S ribosomal RNA". It matches the Rfam family "Bacterial small subunit ribosomal RNA", at positions 524 to 776 of the family's 1533-position model. The record is from RNAcentral.